Contarinia nasturtii (swede midge) is the source of this 620-nucleotide long non-coding RNA. RefSeq lists it as uncharacterized. Lineage: Eukaryota; Metazoa; Arthropoda; Insecta; Diptera; Cecidomyiidae. The record is from RefSeq and is a predicted model, not a curated record. The transcript has 4 exons.
UUUAGAACAAAACUAGAGAUACCAGUCACUGAGGUUGGCGCCGGUUUUGCUGCAAAAAGUCUUUGUACGGUGUUGGGAUUGGACAUUCAUCCGCAACUAUUGAGACCACAGAAUCAAAAUGCUGCCAUACAAAAUCAAGCAGCUGACGAUGAGGAUUCCAGUGACGACGAGGACAACGUUUAUGUUCUCGAUGUUUCCGAUGACGACCAGUUUUAAUUACAUGUAGCAUUAAGAUUUCUUUUUAAAUAAUAUUAUUGUAACGUUUUAUUACUAUGCUGGGCUUGAGUUUUGUGGCCUUGACCGAAGUACGGGCAGUUUGGUAUACAAAAUAACCCGUAGAUAUGCCCGAUAAUGGAUGAAUUUGCCACAACAAAUAAUAGCAGAACUGAUCAUCUUGCUUUUAAACGACAAUAUUUUUUUGUGUUUUCAACUUGUUUAAUAUUUUUUGUAAUGUGUUUUGUUGAAACUUUGUGCAUUUCUUCGCAAUAGAAUAAAUUGUGUUCUUCAUAUUUGUAAUUAAUAACACAAGGUAAACAUACUCAAUUGGAAAAGUUACUGCGUCAAUUAAAUUUCAUUACUUACAGUGAAAUAAAUGGAAAAAUACUAGAUGUGAACAAUAA